UCUAUCAUCUGUAUACGUGUUGCAGCAGAUUUUGUUAUCCCGUUAAUUUCAGUUUUCUUAACAUGGGAAGAGUUAUAACACGAAUUCACUAAUAUUUUAACCUUGUGGCAACUUUUUUUAUCUUCUCCAUAUACGGCGAGGAAUUUCUCGAGGAAUUUUCUUCGUCGAAUUUCCGACGACAAAACGUAAACAGCCGAUAACAUAGGUAUAAUAGCCG
Molecule: long non-coding RNA, 217 nt
Organism: Polistes dominula (European paper wasp)
Lineage: Eukaryota; Metazoa; Arthropoda; Insecta; Hymenoptera; Vespidae
Source: RefSeq, a predicted model, not a curated record